Long non-coding RNA from Felis catus (domestic cat), 14582 nucleotides. RefSeq lists it as uncharacterized. The record is from RefSeq and is a predicted model, not a curated record. Lineage: Eukaryota; Metazoa; Chordata; Mammalia; Carnivora; Felidae. The transcript is spliced from 2 exons.
CCCUCUCUGUUUUUAUAUUAUUUUUGUUUCCCUUCCCUUAUGUUCAUCUGUUUUUUCUCUUAAAGUCAUAUAAAGAUUAUUUUUUAAAAAAGAAAGUAUGAUAACUUAUAAAUACACCUAGACAGAGAAAAUAUAACAAGAAACCAUACCACAAGGGUUGAUACAGAAGAAUCUGAGAGCAAAGAUGGCCUUAGAAGACUUUCUAGCUCUGAUAGAAUCUGGUCAUUCUGAAAAACAAGAAAUAAUUAGAUUGCUAAAUUCAGUGAGAUUGUUGUUUUAUGAUUCUAAACAUAACCAGCUUUUGCUUUUGCAAUGUUAAACAUCAGGAAUCUGAUUAUUAAACAAAACAAAACAAAACAAAACAAAACAAAAACCAUUGAGGAUGAGACAUUCUCAUAAUCUAGGGAAGUAGACUAAGGUCAGAAGAAAAAACUAUGUAAAGGAAUGUUAUCUUUCUUUGAUUUUACUAUUUUUUCUUUCUCUUUUCCCCAUUCUGUGCUGUAUGCUCUAUAUGUUUGAGUCAUUUAUUUCUGAUUAUAAUUUAAAAACAUAACUUAUGUAAAUACUAAUUGUUGAAGACAUGUGCUUAGAGUUUGCAUUUUUCAAAAAUAAAUCGUAUUACUCUGCAUAACCAGCAACAUAGAGAGCUCUGAGACAUAAUUGUGCAGUCUUAAGAAAUAAGACCUCAAAGAAAUUAAAGACCUUUAAGAAAUUAAAACCUCAAAUAAAAAUGAAAAUUUAGUCUUUCUAUAUGGGACUGAAUUUCCUAUACUGUGGGUAUUUUAUUAGGAUUUACAAUGACCUAGUAUCUUCUGGAAAAUUCUUUAUCUAUGGCUGUCCUGAAUGCAACCGAAGUAGAGUAAGAACAGGACUAAGAUUCCAGAACUUGAAGAACACAUCACUAAUAGGAUCAUUCCUUGCACUGAACUAUCCUUAUGCUAGAUUGUCCAUCAAAGUUCUCUUCAAUGGCCUUCCUCUUCUUUAUCUACAUUCUCUUAUCAAUUCUUUCUCCUCUUUUGUUGGGUGAAAAAAUAUCUUUUUGACCUACCACGAAUUAAAACAUGCUGAAUUUCACAAAGGGAGUUAUACAUCCUUUUGCAUACAUUCAUCUAAAAUGAACACAUUUUAAAACAUAUCCCUUCCUGGACGUAAUUGUAUUUUAUCAGGUAACAGAAGACCUGCAAAAGUUUGGAUCUCUAUAGGUGACGUUUCAAACAUUUCAUGUAGAGUGCUUUUAGGUUUGUGGAUGUUUCCGGGACUCCUAAGAUCUACCACAUGGUGUGCACCUGCUCUGACCACCUGCAAGGUUAACCCCGUGUCUAUUUGGUGCUCAAAUCUCCCCUCACCACCUGGAAUUCUCCCUCCAGCAAAGCCCCAUAAUUGAAACUAUUCUCAUUCUGUGCUUCUGUUCUGUUUCUCAAUGUGAUAGGGGGAUGUGAGAAGGGCGUUGGUGUGGGUUGAGUUGGUACGAAAUGCGUCUAGCGCUUCUGGAGUGUAUCUUUCCAUGCCAUAAGGACUUGUGGGUGCCGGAGCUACAGCCAGACAGAUUGCCAAGUCCGGCUCUUGUAGCCGGCUCUCCGGCAGAUGCCGCAGGCCACUUCCACUUGGUGCCUAGAACUUGACAAUGCCAACAGAAACACACAGCAGGGAUACGCUGAUGGGCAAAAGAAGCGACUGCCCUUGUCACAGGCCAGAAAGGCUAGUUCUUUACAUUGAAGAAAGUAGGGCAAACAGGGUAGGGAGGCAGUGAAAAGCUAAAAUGUUCUCUUUGAUCAGCAACCUCUCGAGAUGCCUUGCCCUUCCUAUCGGAGCUGAUACGGACAGGGUUUUACACUCUUUAACAUGAAAUAUUCAAAAGAGAAUGUUUCCUUAGCCAGUAUCAGCUACAUGGAUCACCAUGAGGGAAAGAUAAUAAUUAUCCCUUUGGGAACAGAAUUGUAAAGAGGGAGGCCUCACUUUCCGGCUGGCAAUAACAUAAACGAGGUAGAUGGAAGUGCAAGGAAGAAUGAAUGAGGAGUGGCCCAGCAAGGGCAGCACCAGUCGCCAAACAAGAACAAGCAGUAGGACUGACAGUUUGGGAAACUGAGGACAGUGAACACACUGGCCUUGACACUGGGACACCCAACUUUUGUCAGAGGAAAGGAUAUUCCAAAACUAAGCCAAAUACAUCUGACUGGAACUUUCAUUUAAAUUUGAAUAGUUCAUUCAGCCUUUGUUCUUUCUUUUUCAGUGCCUCCACAUUCAAACCCUGACCUGUCCUCCCAGAGAACACCUUGUAUCAGUGUUUGAAGAGGGUGAAUUUCCUUUUGUGGAAGAAAAGGGAGCUUAUCUAAUUUUCUUAUUUCCUAAGGGUGCCAUCUAAUAUCUGAUAUUUAUUCUUUAGGAAACAAAAUUCCUCAAUUUUUUUUUUUUAGCUUCAGAAUUCCCAGAAUGGCAGAAAGAUAUUCAGGCAGGUUGGUGCUGGCUAAAUAUUACCCGAUAUUUAUCUGCAUAUCAGCAAAUCAGCCAGUUAUUUCUGUUCCGGAUAAGUUAGAAAAACAAAUCAGCAUUUCUCUCAAAAACUGUCCCUCUAGAUAAGCCCAUAUCUCAAUGCUGUGUUAAAGACUGUUCCAUAACGUAGAGAAUCAAAUUAGUAUCUAAUCUUGCAGUUGAACCUGCAUAAAAGGUUUUUGUAGAAAAGAAGAAAAACAACAGGGGCGAAAACUCUACUUUCUGAGCUUUUCAAAGUCUUUUCACGGCAACAUGCUUAAAGGUUGCUUCCUGAGUAAUGUCCUUUGUUUUGAACAAUUGCUACAAUUGUUUUAAUGUAAAUUUCACAAUAAAAUAAAUGGGAACCAAAACAACGUUGAAGAAGCUCAUCAGCUGCAAAUUCUCUUGGCUGCCUGGAUACCUUAAACGUUGCCUUGGCAGACAAACGGGACAAAUAGCUUAGGCACUUAGAAUUGCCAAGGAGCCUUGAGGUCAUGGAGUCCCACCCUCUUCUUUUGUAAAUGAGUCAAGUUCAAAGAGAUUAGGUGAGUAGCUAGGAGUGUUGAGCCAGUUACUUGUACUAGUGUGAUUUAGGUCUCAGGAUGAUUUUCCUCCAGACCAACUGUACGCAUUUAUGCUCCUUGCUCAGAUAUCCUUUGCACGUAGCUUUCUCCACUGAAAGCACUUGGUAUAUGGUUGUAAAAUGCACAUUUAAAGGUCUCCCUUUUCCAUUAGGCCGGAAUCCCUAUGAAGGUGGGAAACAAAGUUGCUGGUUCAAUUUUGUACGCCUUGAUGAGGUUUUUUUGGGGUGCUGGUGGGGUUCGUGGGGUCUGGGGCUGACGACCAAGAAAGAAUUCUUGAAGACGUCUUUGGUGCAAAAAGGCGGUUUUAUUAAGGCACAGAGACAGGACCCGUGGGUGGAAAGAGCUGCCCUGGACCUGGUGGAGAGACUGGUUAUAUACCAUGGGGUUGGGGAAGUUUCCAGUAAGACUUUCAUAUGCUGAAGAAGACUCCCAGGAUAGUGGAGGCCUAGCUAUUGUCAAGCUAAGGUGGUUUUUCCCUCUAACAAAGCAUUUAGCAUUAAGACAGUAGGGAGUUCCUAGAGAAACGUUUUACUCUGCCAGCCUCAAGUAAUUGUCAAUGGGCUGCAGGUUAUAAGGAAAUUUAAUUCUGUCAUUUCUUUCUGCCUUUGUUUCCCACAUCACUAUGGAGGGGUGAUGGAGACUUAGGUCCUAUGGGACUAAGGUCCUAGGACUAUGAUCUCUAGCUAACCAUUUGUUUUUCCCCUUUUCUUUGUUCUUGGGCAGCCAGGAGUGCCAGAGGAAUAUCACACAUAUCCUGGGGGUGGGGAAGGUGGGGGGAGUUGCGGACUGUCAGUUUGCCUUAUGCUCUCUCAUCACUCUUCUAGCCCAGUCUCUUGCAGAGAAAAGGGAUCCAUCAACAGCAUCUGAUUUAUUUGAAUUACAUUGAAUUUCACAUACAUAUCCCUACAGGGUCCUCACCUCAUCAUUGACACUCUUUGUUGGCUCUCUCCCUGGUAACAAUGUAUAUUUUUUGGGUCCCUCAAAUUCUUCACCUCCUCUGUAAGCUCAGUCGAAGCAAUUAAGUAGUCACGUCCCCUCUGCCUUCUCAUAUUCCCCUUCCCACUUAAACUCAGCCCUGACACCCUCCUCACUACAUUGCUUUCUCUUCUUCCUUCUAUCAUUUGAUAACUAAGAGUUGUAGAUAAAGUUAAUUCUUAUAAAAAGUGGACAGAAGACAAUGAUCAACCUAGCCUUCUGUCUUUGAAUUUCCAUUUACACAUUCCCCACCACACGCAGCAGACUCUACCGUGAACUUGCUCCUUGUUUAUGAACAAUGACGUGUGCUAUUUUGACUACUGUUUACUUUGCAUCUGGACUUCUUUAUUGGUUGCAUCUCAGGGAAGUAACUCAGAGCCCGGUGUCAGUGAAGCCAAGGUCCUGGCUGAUCUACUACCCUGGUCCAGCCAUCUUCAGCUCUAGCCUGGUUUAUUCCAACAGCCUCUUCACUGCUUUUGCCCUUUCUUUGCCUCUGGAACAUAGUUCAUAAAUCAGACUAAGUCUCUCCUUCACUCUGAGCUUCUCACUAACAAACAGGAAGUCAAAGUCCUUGUGAUAGCCUGCCCGGCCCCUGGCUGUUAGCUUCCUGGCUUACAAACCACUCUUCUCCCUUGCUCACUGUCAGCUUCUAAAAGGCAGACUCUACCUACCCCUUCCUCAGGGCCUUUGCAUUGGCCUUCUCCUUUGUCUGGAGUGCAAUUCACACAGAUAUCCCCAGGGCUUGCUCACUCACCUCCUUCAGGUUUUGACUCAAAUACCUCCUGUGUUUUGAGGCUGCGCUCACCACCCUAUAUCAAACUGCCCAUACUUCUUCCCAGCAUUAUUUACAUCUCUUCCCGAUCACCUCUGAUAACCUCCUGAAAAUUCUCCCUAUAGAGUUGUUCUGAAGAUUAAAUGAACUAGCAUAUGCAAAGGGCCUGCAGACUUUAGGUACACAUUAAAUGUUAGGUCUCUCGUGGCAUUCCGUGGUAUCUAGUCGCAGCGAUCUUGGCUGUUACCCCUUUCACGCACUUAGUCCUUCAGUGCCACAAAGUAAUUUACUUCUCCUCUGCUUCCUUUGUUCCUUACACAUCCUUACCUGUCUCUGGGAUAUCUCUCUCCUUCUUAUCAGUUCAAAUUCUACUGUCUUUGAUCACAAAGUAAAAGGAGUUAUAAAUUCUUCCUAUCAAAGGCAAAUAUUGAAGCCUGGCAAUUGUUAGUACAUUUUCUUUUCUUAAGACAUUUAAAAUUUCCUGUACUAUAGUCAAUUCUGUGAAGGCUCUCUCUCCUCUCCUUGACUGGAAGCUCCUUAGAGGAAACCUACCUCCUCCAUUCCUCUCACUUAUCUGCAUCUACAUCCCCCAGUUUCUAGAAUAAUGUCUUAUACAUGAGAGAUAUAAAUAGCUGUAGAUGAAAGGGAAAUCAUUCUCUACAGCCAGUGAACAUGUUAUGUAACCUGGUCUGGAUCACCCGGCGGAAGAACCAAGCGGCACUCAGAGAUCUUGGAAGGCAGGAGGUUUAUUUCAUACCGGUGGGCUCAGAGGAGAUCAUUCUCCAGAGGUCUGAGUUCCGACUGCAAGCAUGGGGACAAUUUAUAGUCUGUUCCUUCAGCAUUAGUAGUAAUUUGGCGCAUGCUGCAAGUGGGGUAGGAAGAAGGGCCCGGAAAGGGAGUCUUUGGGCAGGGACUGGAACUCCCCUAGCAUUCCUGUCGGCCACCUUAUAACAUAAUUUUUCCCUAUAAUUGCCUCCUCUUAUGCCCCUUUAAACAGAUCUAGGCUGUAUUAGAGGGCAUCAGCUUCAUUUAUUAUGGGCUGGUCCUUUCCCGUAGUCCCCUGACUUUGGUUGUGACUAUUCCCGACUGGUUUACACAGUAACAGCAUUCUUCUCCGAGGAAGAUGCAGGUGCCCCCUUUCUCGGAAGUGAGGAGGCCAAGUGCCCGUCCGUUCUGGAGGUCAACUCUUGCCAGAGAACUUAUUUGACGCUGCAAGGACACUAGGGAGUUGGCCACCUAUUCCAUGUCUUCAUUGAGUUCUCAGGACAGUUUAUGUUACAGUCCCACAGAAGAGCCUGUGCCUCCUAUGCCAGCUCCUGUCCCCAUGGCUAUUCCUGCCCCUAGGAGGACAGGUGGCAGCACCACUCAUUUAACCUGGGCCUUAGGGCUGAAGGUUUACAAAUGGGGCCCAGAUUAGAGGCAACAAUACCAACGAAACAUCCUACCCAUAAGAGGAAGGUGAGUGCGAACAGGAACCUCUUGUGGUUUCCCCAGCUUUCUGGGGAAAUUUCUGCCAAUCAGAUGGCAAGGAGUAAGGACACUCUAUUUAUUUUAUCGGACCGGUGAUUCCUCAAUCUUCUGCCGGGCAGCAGACCAGGCAGCUUCCGGGGUGUGGCUGGAGCAGGGCUGAAGAUCCUAAGAAUCUAGGACUCUCCAGAAGAUCGCUUUGAGUGGGUUCAUCAGACUCGGGUCAACCUUCCAAGUCUGGGGCUCCUCAGGAUAGGCCCUUUUGACUCUGGAGUGGUGGACUCAUGGAGUGAUGUCUGUGACCUCAAGGGCAUCAGGAGUGGUCAGAAUAAUGGUAUGAGGCCCAGUCCACUGUGGUUUGACAGGGUCUUUUUUCCAAUCUUUGACCCAGACCGAGUCCCCUAGUGAGAAGGUGUGUACAGGAGAUCCUAAAGAGAGUGGGGCCCUCUCUAUGGUAUAUCGUUAUAACUCAUUUAGGGUGGCCCCUAAAGCUUGAAGUUGUUCUCUUAUUCCCUUAUCCCUUAUUUGGUGUAGGUUCCCUGGGAGGCUCCCUAGACAUGGAGGGGGCCUCCCAUAUAUUAGUUCAAAAGAAGAGAAAUCUUGACUUCCCAGUGCAGGAACAUACAUGCAGGAGGGCCAGGGGCAACAGGUCCAGCCAUGGGAGGUCUGUUUCCUGAUAGAACUUGGCUAAGGUUCCCUUGAGGGUGCAAUUCAUCCGCUCUACUUUCCCUGAACUUUGAGGCCAGUAAGCAGUGUGAAGCUUCCAAGUGAAGUUGAGGGAGUUGGUUAAACUUUGUAUAAUGUCCGCCAUGAACACAGGCCCGUUAUCGCUGUGGAUUGUGGCCAGUGAGCAGAACCAGGGGACAAUUCCUAUUCUUUGGACUCCUGGUGGGGAUCACAGUGUGGAUUGGGCAUUAUUCUUGGCACAAGUGACACAUCAUUUGCUUAUUGUCUGACACAACAUGGGCAGCAGACUGAUGUAAUAUUGUUUUUUGAAGAGGGCCUCUAACGGAGUUUUUCCUAGAUGGGUGAGUUGAUGGUAUUCGCUGACUAGAUGCCCUCCCAUUAUUUCUGGGAUGAAGAUGUGUCCAUCUGGCAGUUUCCACCAUCCUUUCUUGGUCUGGGUGGACCCUUCAACCUCAGCCCAUUUGUUCUCUUUUUUAGUGUAUCUGGGUGGAGGGGUUUCUGCUGGGGGUGUCAGGGUGUAAGGGAGAGAGCUAUGUCUACCUCCUUAUUAGCUGCUAUCUUGGCUGCUUUGUCUGCUAGAUGAUUCCCUUGUGUUGCAGGUUCGUCUCCCUUCCGGUGUCCUUUGCAGUGUAGAACUUCAACUUCUUUUGGAAGCCAGAUGGCCUUGAGGAGCUUUAGUAUUUCCUCCUUGUUUUUGAUGGUCUUCCCCACUGCAGUGAGGAGGAAGCCUAAGUAUCAGACUUGCUUUUGGCAUAUCUGUGCCUUUCUCCAUGAGACCCGAUACCCUGAGUCCAACAGAAGUUAGAGGAGGGCCCUUGUGUCCUCUGUAAAAGUCUCUCAGGUAUUGCUGGCAAGGAGGAGGUCAUCCACAUACUGGAGAAGGGUGUGGCAUGUGGCCUCCCUUGGAAAGCCAGCAAGAUCUCUGGCCAGUGCCUCACAAAGAGGGCAGGCAAGUUUUUAAACCCCUGUUGGAGGCACGUCCAAGUCACUUGCAUCUGAUGCCCUGUGUCUGGUUUGGUCCAUUUGAAGGGAAACAAGGGUUGGCUCUGGGGGGUGCCAAGCGGAGGCAGAAGAAAGCAUCCUUUAAGUCUAGGCAGGUGAACCAGCUGUCAGAGCCUGGGAUCUGGCUGAGGAGGGUGUACAGGUUUGGGACCACCGGGUGCAAGGAGAUAGUCACUUUGUUGGUAGCUUGUAGGUCUUGAACUGGUCAGUACCCUCCUCCUGGCUUCUUGACUGGCAAGAGUGGGGUGUUCCAGGGUGACUGGAAUUCAACCAGAAUGCCUGCUUCUUUGAGUCUGGUCAGGUGUUCUUGGAUGCCUGUCCUUGCCUCUUGUGGGAGGGGGUAUUGCUGCUGUCUCUGCAUUUGAGCCCCUGAGAUUAACUCUACAAUGACAGGGGCCUGGUUGCAGGCAAGUCUGGGGGUUUGUCCUUGGCCCAUACAGUGGGGAAGGCAGUCCUGAAUUCGGGCAGGCAGCUCGGUUGGGCCUGGGCAUAGAUUAGCCUCCAUUCUUCCUCUGUUGGUGUAGUGAUUGCCAUUAUAAGGAGGCCUGAUUCUUCUUAUCUUGGAUCCAAUUGGAGGCUGGUACGUCCCAUUGGGUCAAAGGUUAUUUGGGCCCCCAGCUUUGAGUGUAUAUCCCAGCUGAAGAGAAGGAUAAGGCACUCAGGUAGGUAGAGGAGCUCAUGCCAUACCAUGUGGCCCUCUAGUUCACACUGAUGGGCUUGGCAGAAGGGCUGUUGCAUUGCCCAUUUCCCUGUGGCCUCAAGGAUGGUUGAGGUCUUCUCACUAAGAAGUGAGGUGGGGGAGGUGACCCCAGAAUGUUCAGCCCCAGUGUUGACCAUAAAAGUAAUAGUUUGGCCCCCUACUUUCAUUUUGACCAUGGGCUCAUGUGGGCCAAGAAGAAGUAAGCCUGGUCCCCCUCAAUCUGAAUUUAUUCCUGCUAAGCCUAUGAGGUCUUUUCCACAGCGUUCUUCUACAUAUCGGCUGGGUUUCUGGGACUUUCCCUGGUUGGGACAUCCAUUCUUCUCAUGUCCUUUGUCCUUGCAGUAGGCACAUUGAUACCUUGCUAAAGAGGUUCUGGGCUUUCCCCCACCUCUUGGCAGCUGGACCUUCCCUGCCCUUUUGUUGUCCUUUUCUUUCAGAGCAGUGGUGAGGAGGCUGACCUUUUUUCUCAUCUUUUUCUGGGCUUCCCUCUCAGCAGUGACCUCCCUGUUUAUGUAGAGCUUGUUAGCAACUCGAUCAACUGGGUGAAGUUAAUUCCAGAAAAAAAAACCCCUCAAUUUUUGUAGCUUCUUUCUGAUAUCUGUGGAGGCUUGGGCCACCAAAGAGGGGUUUACCAUCUUCUGGCUUUCUUGUACCUUGGGAUCAAACGAUGUAAAUGCAGUAAACCUCCCAUACCCUCCCAUAAUAAUCCUGGGGAGAUUCCUCUUGCUGCUGGGUGAUUGAGGAUAUCUUGGUCAUAUUCAUGGGCUUCUUAGGCCCUGCCUAGAUCCCCUGGAGGAGAGAGCUUCUUGCUACUUGGUACUUGGUACUUGGAUGUGGACUUGUCCUUCUUCUGUAGUGGAGUCCCAUGUAGGACAUUCUUCAGGUGCAACUGUCCUAGCCCAGGUGCCAGGAUUGACAACCCAGCUGGUGCAUGUUCCUCAAGGUAUUGCCAAGCUCCUCUCAUGAAUCUCCAUCUCUCUUCAGUGUUAAAGUGUGGAGCAGCUGUUGGCAGUCUUCCCAAGUUGGUCGAUGGGUCUGAAAGAGGGUCUCCAUUAGGUCUGGAGAAGGGCUGGUAAUACAUCAUGGAGUGGCCAAGCUGGAGGAUUCCAUUUUCAUCCCGUCUCUCAGGUUCCCAUGUCUCUCAUGCCAACAUCUGGAGAGCGCCUGAGCCUGGCUGACAGUGCAAUCUGGCCGCUGGCCCGGAGGUGGGGGAGAGGAUUUGCCAAGUCCAGAGAUGGUGGGGAGACCAAAGGUGGCAGAGUAUCGGAAACCGGGGGGUUAGGUGCUGACAGUCUCAGGGGAGCAUAUGGCACGGGCAAGAUUGGUUCUACCUCUGGAUCACUGGCAAGAAUUUGUGGAGGUCAGGACUUCUGUACCCUACCCUGUCCCUGUUCAUUGCAGGUAAAUUGCACCCAAGGGGGAAAGUUUUCAGGAACUGAUCAGCGUGACCUGGGUCUCUGGUGACAACAAGCCAGACACGGCAGACUGUUAGGACAUCUAAAGUUCCUACCAAGAGCCAUCCUACACUAAAAGUGGGCCAUUCCAACUCACAUAGGGUCCUUAACUUUCCAGGGAUCAUCUUAAUUCCAUAGUCUCCCGAAAACCCCUUUUUGAAGUUCUUGAUCAUAAUUUCAAGAACUGUGGGUUUGUUCUGUCCCGACCCCAUAAUGUUCCCAUGAGACGAAGUCGCAAAUACAGACAGAGGGAUAGGGGUGCCCCCCUCUAAUGAGAAGACCAGUCAGAUGCCCAUCUGGCCGUGUCCUGAAGGAACUUAGGUGACGCUUAGCCAUAGUGGUCUCAGCUUUGUGACUUCUGAUCAAAAACUAUCUGAUGCCGCCAUAGACUGUAUGCUGUUCACCACAGAAUCGCAGACAGGCCCACUCAGAUUCCGUGGGCUUUUGGAGAACUUAAGGGUGCCCACCGGUGGAGCCACAGAUUCAGUCCCAACUGGAGGACCAGGUUGGGCUGCACAUUCACUCACACAAUCAGACCAGAUGUUAAUAUGUUCCCUCCCUAAGAAUCCCUACUUGUGAGACCUCUAAAAGGACUCCAGGAGGUGAUCAGGCUCCCCAUCCACCCUGACAGGUGAGUCUGACUGGGUCCAGGGGCCCCAGACCUUACUGUUAUCUGACAUGGGGUCCAGAUCCUCACCUACCAAGUCUCCUUACCUUCUCCAUUGCAAUUCCUCUUUCUGUCCACUGCCUUGCCAUUUUUCCAAACCGGUGGCAACAAUGGCCUAAUGCAGUUGGGUUUCACUCAGUCAGGGAACCAAAUGUCAGGCAACCUGGUCUGGAUUACCCGGCGGAAGAACCAAGCAGCACUCAGAGAUCUUGGAAGGCAGGAGGUUUAUCAUACCAGCGGGCUCAGAAGAGAUCACUCUCCAGAGGUCUGAGUUCCGAUUGUAAGCAUGGGAGACAAUUUAUACUCUGUUACUUCCGCAUUAGUAGUAAUUUGGCGCACAUGGCACGUGGGGUAGGAAGAAGAGCCCAGAAGGAGAGUCUUUGGGCAGGGACUGGAAGUCCCCUAUCAGUCUUGUCGGCCAUCUUAGAACAUAAUUUUCCCCUAUCAAACAGAGUGAGAGGACUCCCUAUUUCUCAACAUCUUUCAGAGAACUUUAAUAAACUAUGAUUUUUCUUUUCAUUUCUUUGUGUUUUCUCUAAAUUUUCAAAUCAUCAAUGUGAAUGAGAAGCCAAAUCCUUACCUUGCCUGUAUUACUAAAAAGAAAGAAUAAAAGAACCAACCGGAAGUUUCAAAGGUUGAUUCAUGGUCCUGUUGUUCUGAGCUCUGAGGAAAAGUAUAAUAGUUCCUACAGUCUCGUGUGGGUUUCUGGUGAGCACCAUCAGAAACCUUUCCAUUCUUCCUGUCUCUACUGAUUUAUCUACCAUAGUUGCAAUUCCACAGCCAACCUAGAACAGUCCUGGAAUGCAAAGUCACGAAUGUCACUAAUGUCACUGAGUCAGGGCCUGAAUUUGUUGUUCGGACUGCUCGCUUCAUUCCACACUGAAGAACUUACAAGUCUGACAGACUCUCUCCUUGGCCAAAUUUUAGUCAGGCUCCUCUGACCCUUCUUUUUGACUAGAAGUCAAUCUUGGUCUAUAGAACUGCAAAUUCUCAGCACAAAUGAUUUCAUCCGCAUGCUGUCCCCUGCACCACCACCCCUUGUGUUCCCAACGCCUACCACACACAGUAAGAGAUGGGACUAGUAUACUUGCUAAGGGCUCAUAGUUUCCAACAUCCCUGGAUGUAUCCAGCACCCCCGUUUAAAGUUCCUUCCUGGGAAAGCUCAAGACUGCCGAAAGCAUUUACUGUUGAGAUAUACCUAGAUCUACUAGCUGCCUGUCAUGAUAGUUCUUAAAAAACAGCAUCCUCCCCGCUACUAGGGGCACCUGGACGGCUCAGUCAGUUAAGCUGACUCUUGAUUUUGGCUCAGGUUAUGAUUUCGAGAUUGGUUCAUGGGUUUGGGCUCUGUGAUGACAGUGGGGAGCCUGCUUGGAAUUCUCUCUCCUUCCCUCUCUCUCUGCCCCUCCCCCACUGAUGCUGUCUCUCCUCUCUCUCUCUCAAAAUAAAUAAACAUUUAAAAAACCCAGCACCCCUACCUGAUUUUUGUAAAUUCCACUUCCUAAACUGCUCCAGCCCUGUUCACUCCUCCUUCGUAGUCCUUCAUCCUCCUUUUAAAACAUCACAUCCUCUCCACACAGAUCAGGUUUGGACUCAGUUUACACUAGAGUCUCUCUCCUACUGCAGUAGUCUAAAUAAAAUCUGUCUUGCCACCUUUAACAAAUGGCUCACUCUGCUUGUCUUUGACAAGUCUAAACUCUACAGCUGAGAGUAGGAAACAGGAAUGUCUCAGCGAUUUCUGGGCUGCCUCAUUCCCGUGGAAAUUUUCCUAGAGCAGAGUUUCCCCAGGAAGUGUGUAUGUGGUUGUUUACACACAAAAUUUACUAGAUCUUGCAAUAGCAUUUUCAGAAAAGCUAUAUGGAAAUAUAAAUAUAAAUCAUGGAUUUUUCCAUUAAAUAUUUUGAAAAGAAAAAGCAUUAUUAGGGAGCAGGACACAAGGAGCCUAUUACCAUGAAUAAAUACAUAUUUUUAAAAAACCAAUAAUUUUGAAAAACACUCAUCUCAAAAAUUCAAGAUUGUUGCCCUCAGGCUUUAGUUCAAUGAAUGCAGCUAUAGGACAGGAUGCUGUCAUCUACUUCUGCUUAAUAAGACUGUCUAAUAAUUCUUUUAAUUUAUCUGGGUUUUCAAAGCACUUGCUUGACAGAUUUUAGAUGAGCAGCUAAUCUGUCAUUUACAGAAGGGACAGUGAUGAGAGGGAGCAAUGCCUAAUUCAUCCAUAUGCUCUUUUAUCUGUUGAUUUAAUUUAUUUAGUUCAUUCUUUACUAAAAGUAUUGACAGAGGGGAAAAUAUUUAAUCACAAUCUUGCAGGUUAAAAAAAAAAAGAUGCUGAUAUCAGGCUCGGGGAAGCAGGAGAAAGCUGGGUUGUUGAUGAUCCCAGGAGGAAAGGAAAAUGUGAUUGAGUGAUGUUUAUCUGACCUAUUUUAUUCUGAAUUGUUAUGGAUGCAGCAGUAGUGGUAGAGAGCUCCAUGCAUGUGACAGGUAUUCACCAAAGGAUUUUAUUCUGCACUGUGUGUAAUCAGAACAUGAUUUCUUAUCCACAUCCCACUGUAGAAUUUUUGUAAAGGUUGUGAUUGCAGCAAACCAGAAGCCCAGACUUGUGAUUAUAUUUUACAGACAAGUAAUGGUCACUUUGUGCUGCUUAGACUUUGAAGGUAUUUUCUCGUGGUUUGUUCUGUUUUAAAUUUUUGUUUAUUUAUUUAUUUUUGUUGUUAAGCUCUCAGAAUUCUUGAUCAUCUGGCAGAGGAGAUACCCCAAAAGGUAACAAUAAACUGUCUAAGCUACACAAACUGUUUUUAUUUUGUUUUUACUUUGUUGCUCUUGAUUGUUUUAAAACCAGGAGUACAAGUAUUUGAGAUAACAGGAAUAAAUUUAAAUUUCUACUCUUGGAAAAUAAUUAUUUGCUCCUCAGUAAAACUGAGGAAAAACAUCCCCACUAAUGAUGAAGCCAUUGGUGGUGGGGGGCAGUAUUCUGGUUGACCUUUGCUCUAAUUGACUCUGUAGAGUGGGGAAUUUAAAAAUCAUAAGAGAUGUGUAGAAAUAAUGGAAAAAUAGAGAAACUAAUUUAGACAUUGCUUAAGAGGAAAUAAUCUAAGGUCCUAUGACUUUUCUAGAGGCUGGCAUGAGACUUUGGCUUGCUUUUGCAUGAAUUUCUUUAAGUCUUAUAUCUUCUAGGGGAGAUUUCUCUCUCUCAGAUGUCUGUCUACACGAUCACAUACUCACAAGGUAGAGUAGUUUUCUCGAAAGUGUCAAAUAUCUUAGAAAGGGUAACCCAAAGGAUAAAUGUUAUUUAUUUAACAAAGAUGUAAUGAGCACCUACUAUGCUCUGAAAACUACUAAAUUCUGGGUGUUUGUUGGUGAACAAAUGAGACUUGAUCUCUGUUGUCAUGGAGACAACAAAGCUGGUGAUGUAGUAGCUGAGGCUGCCCUGGCUUGUCUCUAUGUCUAGAAGGUCUUUCCAACAUAGCAACUUUAGCACAGCCAGCCUUCUCUCAUGGCAACUCAGGCUCCAAAGUUUCCCAGUGAGAAGGAACAUGGCAAGGCGCAGGGGUGAGGGACACAUCCUAUAAGCCUGCUCCUCUCCUUUCAUUGGAGAGAAGAGGAGGAAGAGGAGCAGCUCAAAACAGAUGAUGGGAGAAAGGAAGUGACGUGAGAAGAAUGGUCACCCAAAGCAUCCUGGGAUGAAAAUGAAGACAUUGAAGAAUCGUCAUUUUCGUUGUCAUCACUGUUAUAUUGUAAAUCUGAGAGCUUAGAUGGAGGGGGUAUGUGUGCUUAUACAUAAUGGUUUAGAAAAGAUCCAUCAUUAGUUUAA